Molecule: ribosomal RNA, 492 nt
Filed under: uncultured bacterium
Lineage: Bacteria
Description: partial 16S ribosomal RNA
Rfam family: Bacterial small subunit ribosomal RNA
Source: RNAcentral
AGUGAACGCUGGCGGUAGGCCUAACACAUGCAAGUCGAACGGCAGCACAGUAAGAGCUUGCUCUUACGGGUGGCGAGUGGCGUGCGGGUGAGGAAUACAUCGGAAUCUACUUUUUCGUGGGGGAUAACGUAGGGAAACUUACUCUAAUACCGCAUACGACCUACGGGUGAAAGCAGUGGAUCUUCGGAGCUUGCGCGGUUGAAUGAGCCGAUGUGGUAUUUGAUAGUUGGCGGGGUAAAGGCCCACCAAGGCGACGAUCGGUUGCUGGUGUGUGAGGAUGGUCGGCGGCACUGGAGCGGGGACACGGUCAAGAGUCCUACGGGAGGGAGCAGUCGGGAAUAUUGGGCAAUGGGCGGAAGCCUUAUCCAGUCAUACGGCGUGGGUGACGGAGACCCUCGGGUUGUGAAGCCGGUUUGUUGGGAAAGAAGAGCUGUAGGCUAAUACCCAGCUGUUCUGACGGUACCCAAAGAAUAAGCACCGGCUAACUACGUG